This 69-nucleotide transfer RNA is filed under the name Urocitellus parryii (Arctic ground squirrel). Its description in RNAcentral is "Spermophilus parryii (Arctic ground squirrel) tRNA". It matches the Rfam family "tRNA". Rfam says of the family: Transfer RNA (tRNA) molecules are approximately 80 nucleotides in length. Their secondary structure includes four short double-helical elements and three loops (D, anti-codon, and T loops). The record is from Rfam by way of RNAcentral. Lineage: Eukaryota; Metazoa; Chordata; Mammalia; Rodentia; Sciuridae. RNAcentral also lists the same sequence under 2 other names.
GGGGUUGUGGCUCAGUGGUAGAGCGCUAGUCUAGCAUGCAUGAAACACUGGGUUCAAUCCCCAGCACCA